This 113-nucleotide ribosomal RNA is filed under the name Pogona vitticeps (central bearded dragon). The record is from RNAcentral. Lineage: Eukaryota; Metazoa; Chordata; Lepidosauria; Squamata; Agamidae.
CUACCAUGCCACCCGGAACAUCCUGGUCUUAUGUGCUUUCUGAAACUAAGCAGGAUUGGUCUGAUUAGUACUUAGAUGGAAUAUCACCAGGUAAUACCAUGAAAUCUCCAAGC